Molecule: long non-coding RNA, 8631 nt
Organism: Cavia porcellus (domestic guinea pig)
Lineage: Eukaryota; Metazoa; Chordata; Mammalia; Rodentia; Caviidae
Exons: 3
Source: RefSeq, a predicted model, not a curated record
ACAGGUCAAGCUGGUACCCGGUUCAGGGCACAGUGACCCUGGCUAUAAUGGUCACCACUGCUUGCUAAUGGCUUGUUUUGCCUGCCCUGAUGAUGCUUGAAGUUGGUGGCCAGACCUUGUUUGUCACAGGGCAGGUGCCAGGAGCCAGGUUCCCUGACUUCCACUCUUCGGGAUCACAGGGGGACCCCAACAGAUCAAAGGCACAGCUGAGUGACGAGGCAGCUACCCUCUGGGGACCGAGGUGGCCCCCUGUCACUUGGAAAGGGCCCUUUUGAUUGGCACAUGGUUGCCAUCAUCCAGUGUAGUCAUAGGCACAGUGGUGGUGGCCCCAGGGGCAGCGCGGAGGACCUCAGAGUUUGGGCCCCAUGGACAUGCUUGGCAGAGUGGAGAAUACAGCACAGAAGUCGCUGGUAAUUCAGGGCCCUUCGGUGAUACCCUGGACCCGAGCUUUCGGUCCUCUGACCAUGUUGGUAACACUCAUGGCCCUGGCUAGGAAGCCUUCAACUCCAUCCACGGUCUCCGAAAUCCAGGUCUCUCACGGCAUGGAUUUACUUCCUCUUAGUGACAUCUCCUGGUGCCACCUCGUUUUCCAUGUGACAGCACCAUCCGGGUGUCACCCUCUCAGUGGGGGACCAGCAGGGCCUCCUCCCCGACUCCUGGAACGCUCCCCUUCUCCCGCUCCUACUUCUCUAGAGCACACUUUACUCCUCACUCCUCCAAGAUCUGAAACUUCCUCGCUAGUUACUAAUGGAAAAUUUCACCCUGACCUCAUGCAACAGCUCCCAGUCAAAGCACAGGUGGGCACCGCACAGCCUCAGCACUGGGACUCAACACAGUCUCCUCAGUACCCCCCGGGGAAAAAUGACCCGGCCCCUCAGGGUAGUGUUAUCUUCCUCCAUGCAGGCGCAGCUGCAGAGGAGGGACACUCCCCAGUCCGAAAGAAUUGGAAACCCGGAGCCCGGUGGUCUUAAGCCUUUCGGAUGAGGGAAACCAGCCUGGCAUUGACAGCCUUCCACCCACCCCAGCUGGCUGGACUACUGCUGCUUGCUCUUCAGAACUCCCAAGCAGGAGGCCAGGAACAGCGGGGCUGGACCCCUGCGUGCUGAUUUCUGUCUCCAUUUUGCAGAUGAGAAGAUGCAGUUAAAUUGGUUUGGAGGACCCACAGGUGGUGAGGACACUGCUGGCCACAGGGCCGGGCGGGGCUGCUGUGUGGCCCUUCUCUUUCUGUCCUUAUCAUUAGAUCUGCCAGGAACUGUUUCUCCUUUUGGUGAUGCUGGGGCUGGAACCUGUUGCUUCCCGCAUGCUAAGCAAGUGACCCCUGAGCUACCCUUCAACACUUGCCAUGUUCACGUAGGCCCUGCCACUCGUGAGACACAAAGGCUGCUUUCAUUUCUUUUUUUUCUUUUUUUUUUUUUUUUUGAGACAGGGUCUCGCUAUGCAGUUCAGGCUGGCCUUGAGCUCACUUUGUAGCCCAGGCUGGUCUCAAACUUGUAACGAUCCUGCCUUAGCCUCCUUAAAGGCCAUCUGUUAUUAUUAACUCUUUCCUUAGAGUAAAUAAAAUGAGACCCUCUUGUAGAAAAGAACCUAAGCUAAGUGCCCCACUGAGACAGAACAAAGCUGGCUAUCGUGUGGACCGGCGGUGGCGAGCCCAUGGCACGGGUGCCAGCUGUGACUGUUGAAAGCUCUCAAAGGUUCGCCAUCACUGCCGUAGACAGAGCAGCUUCUUUAAAAGGGGUUUUUGGGUCCAUAUUUGCUAUUCAUAAUGCUCGCCGUGCUGGCGGGGAGGGGCACGCCACCCUUGCACUUGCAGAAGCUCCUCCCCACCGCUAGGGGACGCUGGCUCCCCACACCAGCCCUGUCCUACAGGUGUAGAGGACCCGGCGAGGCUCCCUGCGCAGCCGCCUACCUCCAGCCCAGUAUCUGGGGUCCGGCCAGCUCAGGGGUCACUGGUGGGAACCGCUGUCCUUUCUUUAGCUAGUUUACCUUUCCACGUGUCAUCUUCUAAAAUUAUGCUAACGAGAGAAAAGAACCAACAAAGAACCAACAAACAAGAUCCCCCCACAACCCCCAAAGAGCAGCAACAAUAGCAAUAAAAACCCCAAAGCGCGCUUGAGUUAGGAGGCCUGGGCGGAGGCCUGUUCUGCUGCGGGGACCUCAGAAGUCACGGUCAUUUCUGAGCCUCGGCCUCUUGGUCCCAUAAGGGGCAGUGAGGGCCUAUGCAUGACAUAACGGGGACAGACAGAGGCGGUACGUGGACGGGGUCCCAUCUCCUCCAACACUGCGACCCAGGCACUUUUAGGGAGUUUCCCUGCAGGUGGCGCAGAAAUCAGUGUCCUUGUGACGACCCACUGGGCCCGUCUGCACCUUGGAGUAGGAGAGAGGAACUGUUGGUCCCUGUGCCAGCCUCGGCAGUGCGACAGCUUUCCUGUUCACGCGCGAGCCACGCGUGGUUCCGUGCGGUGGCAUGCUGGGAGGUGAUGUCCAGACGGGGAGAGAAUAUUCCAGACGGUGGCACAGAGGUACCGCUCCACAGCUGUUCUCACAGGCCGCUACUGAGUCCUCCAGAUUCUUAAUCUAAAGGAUUCUUUCCUUUGCUCUGUCUUUUCUAUUGGAGUUUUGUUCUGUUUUUUGGCUCUUUAGUUCAAGGUGGUCUUGAACUCACUAUGAAGUCCAAGCUAGCCUCGAACUCAUGGUGAUCCCCCUGCCUCAGCCUCCCAAGUGCUAAGGUUACAGGCAUGCGCCACCGUGCUAGACUUCUUCUUUUGGAGCUUGAGCGACGCCUGGCCCCGUUAUCCACCUAUACUGGAUGAGCAACAUGUCGUGGGCAGUGGUAAUAAUUCUUCCGUGACAGUGGUGAGCUCAGCCUGGCUGGUACCAGCUGUCGAGAGAUGACUGUUAAACAUUUAGGAUGUUUGUCAUCUGGUUGUUAAAUGAUCGACCGCUUUGAGAGCAGCCACGGAAGAGCUGUUUCCACCAUGGACCUGACAGAUGCUACAGAUCAGAAUUCGUGUUUCUUCCCAGGCAGCGGGCUUACCAGCACCCUGCUGCUUACGGUGAGGAAAACCCACCGUCAUUUAUUCCUGAGGAAAACCAAGAAGCAACAACGCCUCGCUCCUGUCUCUUGCAAAGGGUACACCCCACGGAUUGAUCCACAGGCCGGAUCAAGUGGAGCCCAGCGUGGGGGCUCCUGGCACGGGGGAGUCAACGAGGGAGCCGUUCGAGAACGCCGGCUAAAAGUGGAAGCAAAUUGAAUCAAGGAACGAGACUAAAAGUGAAAGCACAUUGAAUCAAGGACCGAGGCCUGAGUGGAUGACUGCCCAACGUGCCGCCCGAGUCAUGGUGAGUGAACGGCAACCUCAUUCCCUUUCCCGGACAUGGGUCAAGCAUUGAGCGAACAUAAAUUGUUCGUGGGAGGCCUUAGCAAGGCAUUAAAGACAAGAGGGGUAAGGGUGAGAACAAAACAAUUGUUGCAGUAUUUUCAGUUUAUCCAUAAAGUUUGCCCUUGGUUCCCCCUAGAGGGCUCUAUAGAUACCAAGAGGUGUAAAAGAGUAGAAGAUGCUCUAAAAGAUUAUUAUAGGGUUUUCGGUCUGGAAAAGCUUCCAGUGACCACCUUUGCAUACUGGAAUUUAAUCUCUGAGCUGCUUGCCCAGCGGCAUGCAGACCCUAAGAUUGAGGAGACGGUCGCACAAGGCCCUCCGAGCUACACAGCCUUAUAGUGCCCCUAAGAUGGCACCUGCCUCCGGCAAGCCUUAUGGCACCCUUAAAAUGGUGCCUGCGUCUGGCAGCCUUGCCCACAGGAAUAUAAGUCAUAUCAGAUAGAGAUGCAUAGCUCCUGUUGUGAUGCUGUACAAGAAUGUACUGGCUUAGAUAAUGCCACUUAUUUUACAGCCAUACUUACAAAAAUAAAAAUGGCAGCAGCCGGAGGCAAUUGGGGCCUCAACCCCUUUGUAUCAAGAAGCCCCAUAUACACCUGAGCCUCCUGCAAAGGCAAAAUCAACAAGCCAGUCUGUUGGUAUAAGAGGGCUCCAAUCCAUGUCUCAGAUGGGGGAGGUCCUCAAGACAAAAUGAGAGAACUUUAUGUUGAGAAAAAACUAAAAGAAAUAGAACAGUCUAUUCCCAAAGAUCAAUUACCACCCGUUAGCUCUCCCCCAGUCACGGGGUGUGGAUUUAGACCCACAAACUUAUGAUAUCCUUUCAGCCAUUCACCAUGUACUUAACCUUACUAACCCUGAUUUAGCGCAAGACUGCUGAUUGUGCAUGGCUUUAGGCAGUCCUAUGCCCUUAGCCAUCCCCUCCAACUCAACAAUUGACCCCUUUCGUGAUCCACAGAAUUUUACCUGUAGACCUUCCCAAUCGUUUCUAGUCCAGCCAUUAUAUUCUAGUACACCCAACAUAUCCAUGACCUGCCUACAGGGCUCUCGCCAAAAUGAUUCUACUCUCAUAGAUAUGGGCCAUCUCCUGUCCACAAUCUGUGUUCAAUUUGUCAAUCAUACAGCCCGCCUGGACCCCCGACAGGACACAUUUUUGUCUGUGGUAAUAAUAGGGCCUAUACCUAUAUUCCAGCCAAUUGGACAGGUACAUGCAUAACUGCUUCCCUCCUGCCCGACAUAGAUAUUGUCUCAGGUGACCAACCUGUUCCAGUGCCACCACUUGAUUACAUUGCUGGCCGCCAAAAACAAGCCAUAACACUGAUCCCGUGUUUGGUGGGAAUGGGCAUCACUGGCACUGUAGCCAUGGGUACUGGUGGCCUUGCCGUUGUCUUAGAUAAAUAUGCUGAUCUAUCCAACCAGUUGUCUGAAGAUGUUCAAGCUUUAUCCUUUAUUAUAAAAACUCUCCAAAACCAACUAGACUCACUGGCAGAGGUCGUCUUACAAAACAGACGAGGGCUAAACCUGCUCACGGCAGAGCAGGGGGGAAUCUGUCUCGCCUUACAGGAAAAAUGUUGCUUCUAUGUCAAUCAGUCCGGUGUUGUGUGAGGCAAACUCCAAGAAAUAGAAGAACAACUUCAACAGUGACGACAACAAAUGGCUGCUAACCCCUUCUCCUCAAUGUAGGGGGACUUUUCCCUUACCUGCGCCCCUUUUGGGUCCCCUAGCUGCCCUGUUGCUUCUCCUUUCUGUGGGUCCUUGUAUUUUUCAGAGGAUUAUGACGCUCAAUAACUGGAUAGACGCGUUUAUGGCAAAGCCCAUUCAGGUACAGUAUCAUCAGCUGGAGAUGGCAGAUCAACAAACCUACCGGGAAGGAAUUCCCACGAAUGGCCCAUAUGACGACGCGGCCUAACUGCCCUGGAGCAAUGGACAGGCAGCCAGAGACGGGCAACUAGGACAUACAUGCUACACCACCGGCCGCCUAAGACAGGCACAGGACCAACUGCUGUCCUGCAAGCCCAUGACGGGAAAUGAGUUAACCUGCCGUUGCUCUCAUGGGUAAAGUAUGUGCUGAUGCAUUCUGCCUUUCGCUUCUGCGGCUCUGUCAACCCCCAGCCCCCUUUUUCCCUGUCAGUGGCUCCAGGAUACCUAAGGAGAGAUUUUCCAUGUAAGUAAGCCAAGUUUAGUAAAAACAGGAGUGUACAUACAUAUGAGAUGUGAUAAAAUACAGACUAUUUCAAUUAAAAACUUAUGCAGUAAAACCUCAUCACCAUUAAUGCCCUUAAAAUGCUUCCCUCACUGUGAGCACACUCACCCCACGGUCCUGGCACCUUUCUGCAGCAGCUCCGGAGUCCCCUUUCCUGGGCAUCUUUAGUUGCACUGUUCUGGCCACCUCGCUGUCCUGCAUGGAUCCCAAAGAUUAACUUGUCACGGUCACUUUGACUUUGGGGAGGGGCCAGAGGUUGCACGGUGCCAGAGCCAGUGAGCAAGGUGCACAGGGAUGCAGCGCGAUGUCUUCAUGGGCUGCCUUCUGUUGCAGGGCACCCAGCAUUAGUUAGAUAAAUGGUGGGGAUCCCGUAGGAAAACUCAGCCAGCCUGCAGGUGCUCACUUCUCCCCUUCUCCUCUCCUCCCUGGCCCUUUGCCCGCCUCCAUCUCCUUCCUGUUAAACCCAAUCCUCUGUGCCCUGGGCUCCCCUGAGCAGGGUCCCUGUGGGAUUUCCUCUGCCUGCUGGCUUGGUCCUCUGUGUACCUGCAAGAGCACGAGUGUGGGAAGCCCUUUGGCUGACCCGUAGCUCAUGCAGGCAUCGAGAGGCCCCUGCGCCUGGGUGGCAGGAUGACACACCUCCUCCUCUCAGCCACCCAUGAGGCAGCUGCUGGACCAGUGCUGCACCCCCCAUCCUCUCCUGCAGACCAGGGCUCCUAGAGGGUUCUGAUAACCGCUGUGGAGGGAGAAGGUUUGAAGGAGCACUGCAGAAUUUGACUGUCAACUUAACCCAAACUUGGGGACUUUUCAGGAUGUCAUUGACUAUAACAUUGAUGUUACUUGGCUUCUUAAAAAUGCCAGAAAUGCUCAAGGCUGGGGUGGCACUUCUGUGUCGUCACUGGCUGUCUUCUUGUUUUCUGGCCUGUUCUCUCUGUUCUGUGGGCAGCAGGAGUGCCUAUGCCUAUGCAACCAGGGGAAGGUGGUGGUGUAUAAUUAUGCUGGUGAGGCAUGGUUUCUGAGAAAUUGAAGUUCUCUUCUCAUCACCCGCCUUUGCAGGUGGUGAGGUCUCCAUUACUGGGAGUAACCAAGUGAGUUGGCCAAGAAAACCUCCUGGAAUAUAUCAAUUGAAAUAUUUAAGACUGUAGGGCUUGCAUGCAGUAAUGAGCUUUUGGGGUUUUCACCUUCAAUGAACCUCACACAGGGUGAUUGCUGGAGAGUACAGGGUGGGGUUGUUUAAGCUCUCCCCAGCCUUCCCUUCUCCAAAGCACCUGAAGAUGCUCCCUUGAGACCGCUCUCCCCAGAAGUGUGUCCCUGCGUGUUACAUCUGUGAUACUCAGGGUGCCUAUGGGCAAUGCACCAGCUCCUCCUGGUGCCUUUGGAAGAGGUGGCAUCUUCCUGGGCUGCUCCACAGCUGGGGCCCUUGACCUGCAGUCCAAGGUCACGGCAGGCUGCUUGUUGAGGUUGCUCCAAGCUGCAAAGGCAGAACUGGAAAGUUGUGACAGAGACCAUCGGCCAUGAGCCUGGAAUGGUUGCCAGCUCCUUGUUUAUGUCCUCACUCUGUGCAGUGAGACCAAAGAUUAUGAGUGGGUGAAGGUUUAAAUCACAAGAUUGGCACAGGGAAAGACCCGCAGACACUCAUCUCCCUGAAAGUCCUCCCCUUCGCUUCACACACACUCGUUCUAUUGCCCAGCCACUUCCUGAGGCAGCUCUGGAGUCCUCUUUCCUCAGUGUCUUUAGCUUUGCUGUAGUGACCACCUCCAUGUCCUGAGUGGUUUCAAUUUGUUCACUUUGCUUGGUGAUUUUGACUUUGGGGAAGAGCUGGAAGUCACACAGUGCCAGAUCCAGUGACAAAGGGGGAUGAGGACAUAGCUUUCACUGCGUUACUGAUCAGACCCCUAAACACACGUAUCAAAGAGGACUCCAGAGCUGAGUCAGCAGGUGACCAGAAGGAUGGAUGAGCAAGUGUGGAGCCAGGGGAGGGUUUCCAGCCUUACUGGUGACAAUGUGUCUUUCCCUGCAAUACAUUUAGAAAAUGUAUUCGUCGCACAGAUAGAGGAGAAUGGAAACAAAUUCCAAGCUCAAGGCUGUCCAGGUUUUUGCACCAGCACCGCGCACAGAGCCCGGAGGCAGAAACCACCACACACCCCUCCACCAGGGACGCCCCUCCGCCAGCUCUACAAUGCAGUGCCUCAGCCACAAGAAGGGGCGAAGCACUCACACCUGGAAAAGGUGCUGAGCCACGGAAGUUGGAUACCAACCAUGACGCAGCGUGUGGCGCCAUUCAUAGAGACGCCCGGAACGGGGACACCAAAAACAGGAGAAGCAGACUGGAGGAGGCCAGAGGUGAGGGCCUGGGGAGGGACUGCUGAUGGCCUUAGAGGCCAUCAAAUUGUUUGCUUUAAAGUAAUUGCUUUUGGAAGAGACUGAGGAAGGCUUCAUGGAACAGGCAGGACUUCAGCUGGACAUGGAAGACUGAUGGGAAGAUUAAAGGAUGAUGCUAGGGAGACAUCUGUCUGUAAGCCAGGCCUGAAAGAAAGAAAUGCGCCUUCCUGGUAAGCAGCCAUGGCGCGAACAGCGGGUGAGCCAGGAGGAGAACCAGUCAGCGUCUCCUGUGAGCCUACCAGCCCGUGGGCUGAGAAUCAAACAUCCCAUCCUCUCCCCAAGUUAGCAGCUGGGGGCCAGAGGUCUGAGCACCUCUAGGGAGGAUGACCGUAUGCAGUAUAGAAAUACGGAGGAUUUCCUUCUAUCCUGUCUUUGAAGUCAAAUGUUGUUUUCACUGUUUUGCUUUAUUCGGGUUAAUUGUUUUGCUCUAUUCAAUAUUGCUUUGAGUGGUUUUAUUGUGUUUUGUUUUUGGUUGGAUUUUGCUAUCCUUGAUUGAAUGGACAGCUAUUGUGACGAUAAUGAGAUAUACCAUGGUAACUAUUACUGUUAUCCCGGCAUCCUGCUCUGAAGUUCUGUACCAAUUUCACUGCACUGUCUUGAUUGGCUUUGUUCUGUCUUGUUGUGUUGUAUUUAACUCCCUUCAAAAUAAUAAAAAAUAAUUACUUUUAUGUUAUGUCA